UGAGGAACAUGACCUUCGGCGGGGGAUAGCCGGCCCAACGGCCGGGUAAUACCGCGUACGACCACAUGGGGACAUCCCUGAGUGGUGAAAGCAGCAAUGCGCCGAAAGAGUGCCUCGCGGCCUAUCAGCUAGUUGGUGGGGUAAUGGCUCACCAAGGCGACGACGGGUAGCUGGUCUGAGAGGAUGGCCAGCCACAGUUGGGACUGAGACACGGCCCAGACCUCCGUAGGGAGG
RNAcentral lists this ribosomal RNA (234 nucleotides) under uncultured bacterium. Its description in RNAcentral is "partial 16S ribosomal RNA". It matches the Rfam family "Bacterial small subunit ribosomal RNA", at positions 118 to 347 of the family's 1533-position model. The record is from RNAcentral.